UUGGUCAACAUACAGAAUUGGAGCAUCACAGCAACCUUCUCAGAUUUACACAGUUGUAGAGACCAUUAAUGCAACACCCCAUUUGACUGCCUGUGACUUCAGGGUCCCCUUCACUCCACAAAAGUGGAAUCAUAUUGACUCACAAAAACAUAAAUAAAAAUGAAAAAGAUCAUUCCAGCAAAGCAUGCUCUUGAAGAAGUCAACAAAGUGAAACACUGGUCUCACCUUCAUGCUAAACCCUGAAAGAUUUCCAGCAUCUCCUCCGAAGUCUUGGUUCUAGCUGUGACCCUGCUCAUGUCUGCUUUGUAGAAAAAUGCCUCUAGCAGAAGACGAUUUCACUGUAAUCCCUAAAUCAAAACAAAGUGGGAAAUACACUGCUGUUUGUGUCAAUGUCUAAUGCUACACAGCAUGGUGUUUUCAGUUUUAAUGAAGAUCAGCUGUGACAAAGCUACAUGGAGUAAUGGAAGAGAAAUCGCUUUUUGAAAACAAAAAGCUUUUUAAAAAGUCACAAAGGGACCGGAGGAGCCAUGAGUGCAUUUUCUACCUUAACAUUGCGGCAUUCCUCUGUGGAACCUUCUGCUGUCAGCAGGGAAUGAAAAAUUGCAGUUGACAUCUACACCUGGCAUUUGUCUCCAGUAAUGGUUAAUGCAGGGACUGUGUUCUCUUGGCUUAGUCUCCACCUGUCAGCUACUCUUUAGGAGAAAAGAGAGCAGGGAGAAACCAAAUAGAUUUAGGCUUCCUUAUUUUGAACCAGGUUUCCAGUGAAAUCUAUAGGCAAGGGCCAAAUCUGCAUCCUUAAGGAAACGAUUACAUUGUGGCCCUGCUUGUCUCAUCUCCUUCAGAUCUGCUGUUCCAUCCAUUCAUCUGUUAUGGAAAUUUUCUGCCUGCCUUUUCAUUUCAGGAGCUAGAAAUCAAUUUUUUAAAUUUGGCCCAUCCUUCAAAGAUUAUGGAAAGCCUGUGACAUAGGUGUAUUUUGAAAUAGAGAAUGCACUUCUAUGUCUCUGAGACAGAAAGUAAAAUGCUGCUGAAAGCUGGGGCCUGAAGAGUGUUUCCAUUUGCUACAGGAACAACAGCUCCUUGGCAGAGACUUAAUGAAGCAGUAAAGAUGGAAGGUGGUUCCUCUGCGUGUUGUUUCACCCUCAGAGGAACAUCCCCCAGGCUGAUGGCUGUGGGCCUGGUGUGGAUGUAAUUGGUCUCAGAUUCCCUGUCUCCUCCUAACCCAGAGAUGCUCUAUUACAUCCUCAGGGAUCACCCGUGGCACGAUCAUGUUCAAGACCUUUGUCCUGAAAGCUGGUGUCUUUUUUUCUUGCAUCGAGCAGGAAUGACUGCAACUUAAGAAGGCAAAGCAAAAGUAUCACGCUAGCUAGCUUUUAAACUCGUUGAUGUUAGAGAUUAUCCAUAUCAUUUUUUUGGCACGUUAGGCGCACAGACUCUAUGUCUACUUAUUGUAGCUCCCAGGAGUACUCUGUAGCUUCUAGAUUUGGAUGCACACUACGGCAGUAACCCAGCUCUGUAGUUUUUUGACGAUCAUCCCCACCAUACAAUGGAAACCUGGGCCCAGUUCUUCCAAGGGAGCUGGGGCACGCUCUGGUCCUCUUCCAUGGCUGAGACUUAUGAUUGUCCAAUGAAAGGUGAUAGUUUGCUUUUCCACCGUGGCAAGUUAAAAUAUCUUUGAAAGACAGCACAGAAUGCAAUAAAAGAAAUAACAAGACUAAAGUCUGGGCCAACACUGUUGCUGAGCAGAAAGGCAAGAGAGUUGUUAUAGCAACAGAUGAAGGAGGUUUUUUUAACAAGUGUAAGCACCUGAACCUUAGAAAGCUAAUGUAGCUGUAAUUGAGAAAGUCUAAAUGGUACCUUUCAGGCUUACGUGCGUUUGCUGUGCUUUCACAUCAAGCUGACCAAACCUGAGCGCCUGUAUUAUUUUCAUCACAGGCCCAAGCUUUUAAGACCUGUUGAGGAUCCAAGCAUAUAUCAGUCCAGCCCGUAGACUGCUUUAAUCAGGACAUGCGGCUCUUGGAUUAGAGUUGUUUGCACAAUGCUCUGGAGCACGCGCAGACCAAGCUUGCAUCUGCCCGCAAGGUACUGUUGCAGGCAUGCCCUGACUGAAUUUACUUUGGGGAAAUAUUUCUCUCUUGUUUUGCUGUCAUUAGCAGUGCUCUAAAGAUGAGAGUGAUCUAAAGCAGAGCAUCAGCUGCUAUUUGUCACCGUGCCAUCUCUCACCCGGCACGGGGCAAGUCUAACCCACUCAGUAAUAACUAAACAUCAGCCCCCUGAGCCCGGAUUUGCUCUAGCAUUCCUGCCCCUAGUAAGGCUCAAAUAGUAGUUAUUACACGAGUAGGAGUUUUUCCAGCGCACACAAAACCAGGGGAAGGGAUUAGAAACAGCCACAAACAAGGCGUAGAUAAAUAAACGUACCGCUAAAAGCCAAUCAGUUAUUUGACCUCAGGUUCAUAUUUCUGUAAACAUGUAUCUUGGCAACGUAUCAUUCAGUUUCUCAAUACGAUGUAAUGCAAGUCCUUCCUCAUUUAUCUCAGCUGUCUUGUUGUGUUAUGUUACAAAUGAUUACAGUUAAUUCUGUGUUUAA
This is a long non-coding RNA of Harpia harpyja (harpy eagle), 2584 nucleotides long. RefSeq lists it as uncharacterized. Lineage: Eukaryota; Metazoa; Chordata; Aves; Accipitriformes; Accipitridae. The record is from RefSeq and is a predicted model, not a curated record. The transcript is spliced from 2 exons.